This 1318-nucleotide long non-coding RNA is filed under the name Olea europaea subsp. europaea. The record is from RNAcentral. Lineage: Eukaryota; Viridiplantae; Streptophyta; Magnoliopsida; Lamiales; Oleaceae.
CAUUGUUACAAAAGUUUCCAUACACAUGACAAUAUAUUUUUAUUGAAAUAAUAAUGAAUACAUUUUUGAAAAUAAUUAUUCAUACUUGCAUGGCAAUGGAAAAUCCAUGAAUCAUAUAACGGAUUUCCUUCUCCUUCUUUGCUUUAGGCUUACGAAAUUUCCAUGUUCAACUACCCCUAAAUCCCCUUAACAGACGAUUGUACCCACUUUACCCCAAGGGUAAUAAAAAAAUAUGUUUAGGUUGUCAAUGAUUGACAAUAUAUCGAUAUCAAUACCCACAUUAUUAUCCAGAUCAUCGGAUACUCCUUCGACAAUUAAAGCAAGGUAUAGCUUGUAUCGAUCAACUCGGGACGUCAAUGUUCGGAGAAAAGCCUUUUCAAUUGGGCACAUGAAAUUUUCUCCAUGAAUUUGAAGUAUUUGUCCUUGAGUCUCAUUUUUCCAUGACUAUAAUAAAUUCAUCACCUUCCUGGACGAGACCACAUUUUAAUCCCGUCACGAUCGUAAGAGUAUACGAUCAAAACUUUUUCAGGUGCCCACAUACAUUGAAUUUGCCUUAUCAGUUUGAAUGGAUCUUGACACGAUCCGUUCCAAAUCACCCUAGUGGACCUGAAACGUGACAUGCGCUAAUGAUAAAUGUUGACUAGAUGUCAAAUCUAUCACCAAGGCUGACUAUGAGUUAUUUCAAAAAAUGCAACAAAAUCAAAUGCUUAUGUAAAACAUAAUGCAAUGGGCCCAAAACAUUUACUUCGUGCUUCAUCAAUAUGAAUUAUAACACUCAACAUAUCGUGUGGCUCUUAUUCAGAAAUCAUUAGGCUCUUCCGACUAAAAAUGAUCAAUUUCUACCUGUAGGAAAAAUCGUGAGAAAAUAUAUGAGUUGAUAACUCAGUGAGUGGAGCAAUUCAAAAAUAAUUAUACUUUUUCAAUUUUACAUUUCUAUCGAAAAUGAAGUUCAUAUCAUUUCAUAAUUCAUAAGAUAACAUCAUGUAAUUAUAACCAAAAAUGAAAUAUUCACGUAAGGUUUUAAAAUAUCAUCUCAAAAUCAUAAUAUAACAUCAGCUGAUAAUCAUGCUAUAAUCACAUCACAUUAAACGUGAUGAAAAAUCCACCAAAAAUGUACUCUCUGACUGAAAUAUAUAAUCCGCUUAUUAGGCUAAAAACUUUCGUCACGGGCCUUUGGCUCCCUCCGUGAGCGAAAGUCGAUCUCAAAGACCUCUCAUAAUCAAUUCUAGAACACGGUUAAGGCCCCUCUGUGAACUAUAUGUACACGAUCAAGACCAAUGUCCGAUCAAGACCCUCCGUGUAGGAUAGAACACGACCA